GUUUUAGCUUAAUUAAAGUGCUUGAGUUGCAUUCAGGAGAUGUAGAUUAGAGUUUUACAGGCCUUCAC
RNAcentral lists this transfer RNA (68 nucleotides) under Trachylepis affinis (Senegal mabuya). RNAcentral describes it as "tRNA-Ala". It matches the Rfam family "tRNA". Rfam says of the family: Transfer RNA (tRNA) molecules are approximately 80 nucleotides in length. Their secondary structure includes four short double-helical elements and three loops (D, anti-codon, and T loops). The record is from RNAcentral. Lineage: Eukaryota; Metazoa; Chordata; Lepidosauria; Squamata; Scincidae.